This 425-nucleotide ribosomal RNA is filed under the name uncultured bacterium. RNAcentral's name for it is "bacterial SSU rRNA". It matches the Rfam family "Bacterial small subunit ribosomal RNA", at positions 356 to 773 of the family's 1533-position model. The record is from RNAcentral.
UAAGAAUAUUCCGCAAUGGACGAAAGUCUGACGGAGCGACGCCGCGUGGAUGAAGAAGGCCGAAAGGUUGUAAAAUUCUUUUGUCGGGGAAGAAUAAGCUCAGGAGGGAAUGCCUGAGUGAUGACAUGAACCGGCGAAUAAGCCCCGGCUAACUACGUGCCAGCAGCCGCGGUAACACGUAGGGGGCGAGCGUUGUUCGGAAUUACUGGGCGUAAAGGGCAUGUAGGCGGUUUUGUAAGCCUGGCGUGAAAUUCUACAGCUCAACUGUAGGGCUGCGCUGGGAACUGCGAGACUGGAGUCACGGAGAGGGAGCUAGAAUUCCAGGUGUAGGGGUGAAAUCUGUAGAUAUCUGGAAGAAUACCAGUGGCGAAGGCGAGCUUCUGGCCGAUGACUGACGCUGAGGUGCGAAAGCGUGGGUAGCAAAC